CCCUUAGAUGUUCUGGGCCGCACGCGUGCUACACUGAUGCAUACAGCGAGUACUUUCCAGCUCCGCGAGGCAGCUGGUAAUCAGCAAUAUGCAUCGUGCUGGGGAUAGAUCUUUGGAAUUAUAGAUCUUGAACGAGGAAUUCCUAGUAAGCGCAAGUCAUUAGCUUGCGCUGAUUAAGUCCCUGCCCUUUGUACACACCGCCCGUCGCUCCUACCGAUUUCGAGUGAUUCGGUGAACCUUUUGGACAGCGUCUGUCCUCGUGUCAGAUGCUGAAAGUCAAGUAAACCAUAUCACUUAGAGGAAGGAGAAGUCGUAACA
This 318-nucleotide ribosomal RNA is filed under the name uncultured eukaryote. RNAcentral's name for it is "partial 18S ribosomal RNA". It matches the Rfam family "Eukaryotic small subunit ribosomal RNA", at positions 1470 to 1796 of the family's 1831-position model. The record is from RNAcentral.